UUCAUCCACAUGGGUUGUUGGGAUGAUGUGAGAGUUGGAUCCCACUAGGAAUCCAACUUAUCAUGAUAAGAGACCUUAAUAAGGAUUAGGAUGAUCCAAUUAAGUAUUUAAAAUGAGCAGGACUCUUAUCCAAUUAAGUAUUGAAAACAAGGUAUGCGAAACCGGUACCGUCGGCCGUUUCGAUCGGCCGACGGUACGGUUCGGUAGGUUUCAUACCGUACCAAACCGACGAUCCGAACCGGAAGAAAAAAAGAGAGAAAUAGAGAGA
Molecule: long non-coding RNA, 268 nt
Filed under: Elaeis guineensis (African oil palm)
Lineage: Eukaryota; Viridiplantae; Streptophyta; Magnoliopsida; Arecales; Arecaceae
Description: long non-coding RNA (EGUI_LNC082148)
Source: RNAcentral